Long non-coding RNA from Hylaeus volcanicus, 1434 nucleotides. RefSeq lists it as uncharacterized. Lineage: Eukaryota; Metazoa; Arthropoda; Insecta; Hymenoptera; Colletidae. The transcript has 4 exons. The record is from RefSeq and is a predicted model, not a curated record.
AAAAUAUGUUUGACGUGUGGAAGUUUUAAUAACCGCACAUUUGCCUUUCCUUUGAGCAUCCAAAUCAACAACUGCGCCGUCUUCUUGUCCCAUAUCUUGAGGGUCGAUGUCUAACAGCUCUAUGACAUUAGCCACCAGAUAAGAGUCAACUUUAUAACAACACACCUUCUAUUCCCUUCGAUACGUUUACAACAGUGAGCAAGAGUGAGCUGGUGUGAGCCGGGGGCGAGCUGGAGUGGGAAUAGCACAGGCGACAUAACGGCAUAACCUCAUCGAAUCUUGUUACUUUAGGUUGCUUUAGGACCUCAAGUUUAGGUCGUCGGUAAGAAGGAAAAGAACGUGCGUUAUUCUUUUCCCAAGAUUAUGGGAGAAGAGGAAGACGAGCGAACAAAUAUACGAAGGUUGUGGGAUGUGGCACGUAAAACAAGGAAGAAAAGAAAGAUAAGUGAUCGGAGACGUUAGCGGAGGUUAUCGGAUGGGAAAUGUCAAUCGAGGUUAUACCUUCUUAGAGUACAUUUUUUUUUCUUUUUUUUUUUUCUCUCAAGAUUGUGCCCAGAAGCUUGUACGAGAGUAGAAGAAGCCUGCAAAAGGAGUGUCUUCUGCUGAUACAAUCGCAACAAAACUCGUCCUGGACAACAAGUGGGUGUUCGCACCGAUCCUGAUUGUUUGGAGAUGAGUGCAAUUGUUAGUGUAGCGUCAGUAAGAUACAGUGUGUGAAUCGGACUGUGGAACGUAUGAUACAUUGGUUAACAAACGAAAUUAAGACAAGUUUCUCUAUGCGAUUGGUGUAACUAUGUAUGAUUCGUCACCUAGGUGUGAAUUAACCUUUUGCAUUCAAGGCCUUUUCUUCUUUUUUUUUUUCUUCUCUUCUUGUAGUAUGUAUCAACAACUGUAAAAUGCUUUCCUAGCUUUGUAUAAUGUAAAUGCAAAACCAUAUAUAUAUAUUAGCUUGAAAGUUAUACGAUUGCAAUUAAUUUAACAUUUAAUAAUCAAGUUUCCUUUACCUGUCAAAGAAUUAUACGAUUGAUAAUUGGAAUUACAUUGAAAUAAAAAUUAAACCUUGUAAACAUUAUCUACCUUGAAAUUUACUGCAUCAAUGUAGAUAGUCACAUGUCACUUUUGGAGUAACUACAUCGAGGUUAAGUUAGGACUGUCAGUCAUCUCUCAAGUGCAAAAGGUUAACAACCUGAAGGUUAUCGGAUGUUAGUUACAGAUGUAUUUAUUUAUUUUCUUUUUUCCCCCUUAAGACGACACGUUGUACACCCUUUGAUAGAAACAUGUAUUAGUACGUUGAAGUGUACAAUGUUAUAUUUAUUGGUGAAAGAUUCACUUUAAUGUAACGGAAUACGUAUUCCGUACCUAACCUAUGAGUGUAUAGCAAAUGAAAUUGUCAUUUGUCCAACUACCUAUUUAAAUAAAUAAAUGAACAUUUGA